GAUGAACGCUGGCGGCGUGCCUAAUACAUGCAAGUCGAGCGAACGGACGAGAAGCUUGCUUCUCUGAUGUUAGCGGCGGACGGGUGAGUAACACGUGGAUAACCUACCUAUAAGACUGGGAUAACUUCGGGAAACCGGAGCUACUACCGGAUAAUAUUUUGAACCGCAUGGUUCAAAAGUGAAAGACGGUCUUGCUGUCACUUAUAGAUGGAUCCGCGCUGCAUUAGCUAGUUGGUAAGGUAACGGCUUACCAAGGCAACGAUGCAUACCCGACCUGAGAGGGUGGUCGGACACACUGGAACAGAGACAGGGUACCGACUCUUACGGGAGGCAGCGGUACGGAAUCUUCCGCGAUGGAGGAGAGCCUGACAGAGCAACGCCGCGUGAGUGAUGAAGGUCUUCUGAUCGGAAAACUCUGUUAUUAGGGAAGAAGAAAUGUGUAAGUAACUGUGCAGAUCUUGACGGUACCUAAUCAGAAAGCCACGGCUAACUACGUG
This 497-nucleotide ribosomal RNA is filed under the name uncultured bacterium. RNAcentral describes it as "partial 16S ribosomal RNA". It matches the Rfam family "Bacterial small subunit ribosomal RNA", at positions 28 to 507 of the family's 1533-position model. The record is from RNAcentral.